CCAAUAGCGUAUAUUAAAGUUGUUGUGGUUAAAAAGCUCGUAGUUGAACCUUGGGCCUGGCUGGCCGGUCCGCCUCACCGCGUGUACUGGUCCGGCCGGGCCUUUCCCUCUGUGGAACCUCAUGCCCUUCACUGGGUGUGACGGGGAAGCAGGACUUUUACUGUGAAAAAAUUAGAGUGCUCCAAGCAGGCCUAUGCUCGAAUACAUUAGCAUGGAAUAAUAAAAUAGGACGUUCGGUUCUAUUUUGUUGGUUUCUAGGACCGCCGUAAUGAUUAAUAGGGACAGUCGGGGGCAUCAGUAUUCAAUUGUCAGAGGUGAAAUUCUUGGAGUGAUUGAAGACUAACUACUGCGAAAGCAUUUGCCAAGGAUGUUUUCAUUAAUCAGGAACGAAAGUUAGGGGAUCGAAGACGAUCAGAUACCGUCGUAGUCUUAACCAUAAACUAUGCCGACUAGGAAUCAGACGAUGUUAAUUUUUUAAUGACUCGUUUGGCACCUUACG
Molecule: unclassified non-coding RNA, 499 nt
Filed under: uncultured Paraglomus
Lineage: Eukaryota; Fungi; Glomeromycota; Glomeromycetes; Paraglomerales; Paraglomeraceae
Description: SSU rRNA
Rfam family: Eukaryotic small subunit ribosomal RNA
Source: RNAcentral